Molecule: transfer RNA, 98 nt
Filed under: Chloroflexota bacterium
Lineage: Bacteria; Bacillati; Chloroflexota
Description: Chloroflexi bacterium (groundwater metagenome) tRNA-Sec
Rfam family: Selenocysteine transfer RNA
Source: RNAcentral
GGGAGUGGAUGGGUCCCGGUGGGCCUUGCGGACUUCAAAUCCGUUGGCUCCGAUUCAAUAAUCGGUGCGGUGGGUUCGACUCCCUCCCACUCCCGCCA